Molecule: non-coding RNA, 69 nt
Organism: Ictidomys tridecemlineatus (thirteen-lined ground squirrel)
Lineage: Eukaryota; Metazoa; Chordata; Mammalia; Rodentia; Sciuridae
Source: Rfam
GGGGUUGUGGCUCAGUGGUAGAGCUCUUGCCUUGCACGUGUGAAGUACUAGGUUCAAUCCUCAACACCA